UUUCUUUUAUCAUCGUAAUUAUUUUGAAUAUCAAAAUGAAUAAAAUUAAAGAUUCCGAAAUCUCAAUACAGCUAGUAAAGGAAAUUUUUCAGGAGAUGUUUCAGAAACAACAAAAGGACAUUUUGAAAUUGAUAAGUGGAAACUUAAAAAUUACUAAAGAACGAAUCGACGGAUUACAAAAAGGCAUUACUUUGAUUAAAGCCACUUGCGAAUCCUUAAAAAAAAAAACGAAAAGAGAAAAGUCGAGCAAGCAAAGUCAAACAAUCAGUUACUGAAUUACGAAAAAGUUUUAAAGGACAUUGAAGAAAGUCUAUCGUUCCAUCAAGAUAAUCACAAUAAAAAGUUUAAAAAAUUCGACAACUGAAAGAUUGGCAAAGAAGAAAUAACUUAAGAUUUGAAGGAAUUGCUGAAAACGAGUCGAAAAGUUGGGAUGAUUCGGAAAUUAAAAUAAUGAAUGUACUUGAAAAUAAUUUAAAUGUAAAUGGAGUAAAAAUAGAAAGAGCACAUCGGACAGGAAAGCGUAAUACAGAAAAGCCAAGAACUAUCGUGAUCAAGUUACUUGAUUAUAAAGAGAAAGUAAAAAUUCUGAAAAAUGCAAACAAACUUAAAGGUUUGGGAAUAUUUAUAAACGAAGAUUAUUCGGUAGAAACAGCAAUAAUACGAAAAAAAAUUUUCGAAGAAAGAAAAAUACACAGGAACAACGGUAAGUAUUGUACUGUUAUUUACGAUAAAUUAAUUGUAAAGGAUUUUAAGAAAUCAAUUUGAAUAAUCAU
Non-coding RNA from Hydra vulgaris (swiftwater hydra), 773 nucleotides. NCBI's taxonomy places the organism in Eukaryota, Metazoa, Cnidaria, Hydrozoa, Anthoathecata, Hydridae. The record is from RefSeq and is a predicted model, not a curated record.